GCCAGGCAUGGUGGUGCAUGCCUGUAAUGCCAGUGACUCGGGAGGCUGAGGCAGGAGGAUUGCAAGCUGGAAACUAGACUAGGCAACUUAGCGAGACCCUGUCUCAA
This 107-nucleotide small RNA is filed under the name Marmota monax (woodchuck). Lineage: Eukaryota; Metazoa; Chordata; Mammalia; Rodentia; Sciuridae. The record is from RNAcentral.